RNAcentral lists this ribosomal RNA (256 nucleotides) under uncultured bacterium. RNAcentral's name for it is "partial 16S ribosomal RNA". It matches the Rfam family "Bacterial small subunit ribosomal RNA", at positions 524 to 776 of the family's 1533-position model. The record is from RNAcentral.
UACGGAGGGUGCAAGCGUUAUCCGGAUUCACUGGGUUUAAAGGGUGCGUAGGCGGCAUGAUAAGUUAUUGGCGGCAAAUCGAGGCUCAACCUCGUGGAAACUAAUAAUACUGUCUUGCUUGAGUGCAGAAGAGGUUAACGGAACUCCAUGUGGAGCGGUAAAAUGUGUAGAUAUAUGGAAGAACAUCAAUAACGGCGAAGGCAGUUAACUAUUCUGUUACUGACGUUGAGGCACGAAAGCGUGGGGAGCAAAAAGG